Molecule: ribosomal RNA, 634 nt
Filed under: uncultured delta proteobacterium
Lineage: Bacteria; Deltaproteobacteria
Description: bacterial SSU rRNA
Rfam family: Bacterial small subunit ribosomal RNA
Source: RNAcentral
GAGUUUGAUCAUGGCUCAGAAUUAACGCUGGCGGCAUGCCUAACACAUGCAAGUCGCACGAGAAAGCCCGGUUCGCCGGGCGAGUAAAGUGGCGCACGGGUGAGUAACGCGUGGAUAAUCUACCUCGUUCUGGGGGAUAACCCAUCGAAAGGUGGGCUAAUACCGCAUAAUCCGGCUUUUUUUUUGAAUUGGUCGGCAAAGGUGGCCUCUUGAUCAAAGCUACCGGGAAGAGAUGAGUCCGCGUCCCAUUAGCUAGUUGGUAGGGUAAUGGCCUACCAAGGCGACGAUGGGUAGCUGGUCUGAGAGGACGAUCAGCCACACUGGAACUGGUACACGGUCCAGACUCCUACGGGAGGCAGCAGUGAGGAAUAUUGCGCAAUGGGGGAAACCCUGACGCAGCGAUGCCGCGUGAGUGAAGAAGGCCUUCAGGUCGUAAAGCUCUGUCAAGUGGGAAGAACAGCUUUAGGGCUAAUAUCCUUAAGGUCUGACGGUACCACUGAAGGAAGCACCGGCUAACUCCGUGCCAGCAGUCGCGGUAAGACGGAGGGUGCAAGCGUUAUUCGGAUUUAUUGGGCGUAAAGAGCGUGUAGGCGGCCGGUCAAGCCAGAUGUGAAAGCCCAGGGCUUAACCCUGG